CCUACGGGAGGCAGCAGUGAGGAAUAUUGGUCAAUGGACGAGAGUCUGAACCAGCCAAGUAGCGUGAAGGAUGACUGCCCUAUGGGUUGUAAACUUCUUUUAUAUGGGACUAGAACAGGGUAUGCAUACCCUCUUGUAUGUACCAUAUGAAUAAGGAUCGGCUAACUCCGUGCCAGCAGACGCGGUAAUACGGAGGAUCCGAGCGUUAUCCGGAUUUAUUGGGUGUAAAGGGAACGUAGGUGGAUUGUUCAGUCAGUUGUGAAAGUUUGCGGCUCAACCGGAAAAUUGCAUUCGAAACUGGCAGUCUUGAGUACAGUAGAGGUGGGCGGAAUGCCUGGUGUAGCGGUGAAAUGCUUAGAUAUCACGAAGAACUCCGAUUGCGAAGGCAGCUCCCUGGACUGCAACUGACACUGAUGCGCGAAAGUGUGGGUAUCAAACAGGAUUAGAUACCCUGGUAGUC
Molecule: ribosomal RNA, 460 nt
Filed under: uncultured bacterium
Lineage: Bacteria
Description: partial 16S ribosomal RNA
Rfam family: Bacterial small subunit ribosomal RNA
Source: RNAcentral